RNAcentral lists this ribosomal RNA (488 nucleotides) under Neopolystoma sp. OV-2015. RNAcentral describes it as "partial 12S ribosomal RNA". Lineage: Eukaryota; Metazoa; Platyhelminthes; Monogenea; Polystomatidea; Polystomatidae. The record is from RNAcentral.
UUAAGUGUUCUUUUUUAAUGGGAGUUGUAGAGCAUUAUAAAAAUUUUAGGAUUUUUUGUUUAAUAAUUAGUCCUAUAUGAUACUUAUUAUAAUAUUUUUAGAAAUAUUUAUAGACAGGGAUUAGAUACCCCUUUAUAUAUUUAAAUAUUUUUUUAAUCUCAGUGAUAACUGAAAGAAAUUGGCAGUUAAUUAUUUCCUUCUAGGGGAUUGUGUUUUUUAAACAGAUGGUCCACUAAAUGAUUUUUCUUUUAUUUUAAUUGUUGGUGUAUAUCCGGUUUUGAUAAAAAAUUAAUGUUUUUUAUUUAAAUUUUGUUUUAACCCAGGUCGAUAUGCUGCUUAUUAAAAGGUAGUUAAUGCAAUACAUUAAAAAUUGAUUAAAUUUAAGUUUUAAUUAAUUAAGGACUUAGAAGUAAUAUAGAAUAGUAAUGUUUAUGUGAAGUUUAGGUUUAAUUAAGGUACACAUUGCCCGUCAUUUUCGGUUUUUAGCU